UGAAGUGGGGAAAUGUUCCAUGUGAACAUCACUUGGACAUGGUCCGUUAGUCGAUCCUAAGAGAUGGUCAAUCCUUGUAUCAAGGGUGCACUCUACAUGAACAUCGAAAUAGAAUUGGGUUAAUAUUCCCGAACUGGAACAUGGUGGUGGAUGGAAAUAUUAGGAAAUCUGGAGAUGUCAUCAGGGGCCUAGGAAGAGUUAUCUUUUCUUUUUAAUGACUUUCCCACCCUGAAAUCGGUUCAACCUCAGACAGGGUCCAACAUCUGAAAGAGCACCACAUGUCUUGUGAUGUUUGGUUUCCCCAUGACAACCAUUGUAAAUAUGGUGAACUGAGUACCAUCCAUGCCCAAUCAUAGUCAUAUAUGCCUCCUUGGAUUUUUCAAUGUCCACUA
This is a non-coding RNA of Picea glauca (white spruce), 392 nucleotides long. Lineage: Eukaryota; Viridiplantae; Streptophyta; Pinopsida; Pinales; Pinaceae. The record is from Rfam.